AAUAGCCUAACGGCUGAACCAGCAACUUGGAGGAAUGUAUAGCAAUAGCUAAUUGCACCAAUUGCAAUAUCGAUUUUGUCGAAUAAAGUUCUAGGUAGAGUUAUGAUAAUGACAUUGUCUAUUUAUAUGUCUUGACCAAAUUACGUGCCAGCAGUCGCGGUAAUACGUAGAAGACUAGUGUUAUUCAUCUUUAAUAGGUUUAAAGGGUACCUAGACGGUAAAUCAAGCUUUUUGGGACUAAUUUACUAGAGUUACUUGUGAGGGGGCAUUAAAGUACUAAUGGUGUAGAGAUGAAAUUCUGUAAUACCUAUUUUCGAGAGAAAGUAAUGGCACAAGUAUAGGCGAAAGCAUCCCCUUAUGUGAUAUACCCUGGUAGUCGAAGCAGAAAAUGAUGAGUGUCAUAGAUUAGUUUAUUCUAUAAAUGAAAGUGUAAGCACUCCACCUCAAGAGUAAUUUGGCAACAUUGGAACUGAAAUCAUUAGACCGUUUCUGAAACCAGUAGUGAAGUAUGUUGUUUAAUUUGAUAAUCCGCAAAAAACCUUACCAUGUAUGUCUACAAGCGUUGCACGGCUGUCUUCAGUUAAUGUCGUGAGACUAUGGUUAGUUCCAUUAAAUUAACGUAAACCCUUACUUUAUUUAUAAAUAAAGUCGUUCUCCACUAUAUUGGAUAAGAUAACAGGGACCAAGACAAGUCAUCAUGGCCUGAAUGUUGUGAGCCUUUACAAAAGGAUGUGAAAUUGCGAAAUUAAGCUAAUCCUCUAAAACUGGCUAUACAUUAACAUG
This 783-nucleotide ribosomal RNA is filed under the name Micarea myriocarpa. Its description in RNAcentral is "SSU rRNA". It matches the Rfam family "Bacterial small subunit ribosomal RNA", at positions 370 to 1300 of the family's 1533-position model. The record is from RNAcentral. Lineage: Eukaryota; Fungi; Ascomycota; Lecanoromycetes; Lecanorales; Micareaceae.